UACGGAGGGUGCAAGCGUUAUCCGGAUUUACUGGGUUUAAAGGGUGCGUAGGUGGGUCUGUAAGUCAGUGGUGAAAUCUUCGAGCUUAACUCGGAAACUGCCAUUGAUACUAUAGGUCUUGGAUCAUCUGGAGGUGAGCGGAAUAUGUCAUGUAGCGGUGAAAUGCUUAGAUAUGACAUAGAACACCGAUUGCGAAGGCAGCUCACUACGGAUGUAUUGACACUGAGGCACGAAAGCGUGGGGAUCAAACAGG
RNAcentral lists this ribosomal RNA (253 nucleotides) under uncultured bacterium. RNAcentral's name for it is "partial 16S ribosomal RNA". It matches the Rfam family "Bacterial small subunit ribosomal RNA", at positions 524 to 776 of the family's 1533-position model. The record is from RNAcentral.